UUUUUCCUGGGAUGUGCACUCUCCAAAGCAAGCAAAGUCUUUAGGAAGCUCUGGGAUGGAGGGAUGGGUGCCCCUUUGUGAUGGGAGGAGGAUUCUCUUCCCAGGACCAGCGCUUGCCUGGCUGCAGUGUGGCCACAAACCCAGGAACGCCUUGCUCAGCCCCAGGGGAGACAGACAGCGCUAAACCCCGGGGCUGGCUCUGGGAAAUGUGUUGCUCUGUGCUUUUUGCACCGAAUUCCCAGGCUCUCCGGGCAUGUUCACAAGGGAAUAUUGACAUUUGGGACCAAGGGAUGGAAAACUGGGCUGUGAGCUGCUGGAGCUGUUAUCAAGGAUAUUUAUCCCAGCAACUUUCCCCUGCAGGACUUCUCAAGGUUGUGCUUCUUUUUCUCCAUUCCCACUCUCUGAAUGCCAUCACUAAAAUGCACCUGUCCUGCCUCACCUGUCCCUUGCAGCCCAUGUGGGGAGCAGCAGGGAGGAAAAUCAGACCUGGAGCCCAUUCAAAGGCAGAAACGGCAUGCUGCCCUCCCCAGGGAUCCCUCAGAGGCUGCUGGAUGUGCCAGUGGAGCUGGAAGGAGCCCAUCAUCCCAAGGGUGGCUCUGCAGCUGCUCUCCUGCUGUCCCCUUUGGUGUGACAAUGACGUGGGGACAGGGCACAGACCUGGCAUGGAGGCUGCACCCCAAAACCCUCUCUGAGGAGAGCUCUCAUCUUGAAAAACAGAAUAAUUAUGGAGCGACAUGGAGGAAGAAUGUAGAACAUGGAGCAAUGAUCAGUAAAAUUUAAAAGCUUUGGAGGUGGAGUUCCCAGUGAGUUUCCUGAAGUUUGGAUACAUACCCAAACUUCCUUGAACCUUUUGGGGCCUAAUUAAAUUUGAGGGGACUGAUAAAAAAAACAUGCAUGGAAGAGAAAACUUUCUUGCUAUGGAAAAAAACUGCUUAAUAAAACAGAUUAUGUGCAAAAUAGAAAUCUGGGC
RNAcentral lists this long non-coding RNA (970 nucleotides) under Zonotrichia albicollis (white-throated sparrow). RNAcentral's name for it is "lncRNA (ENSZALG00000008599.1)". The record is from RNAcentral. Lineage: Eukaryota; Metazoa; Chordata; Aves; Passeriformes; Passerellidae.